GACGAACGCUGGCGGCGUGCUUAACACAUGCAAGUCGAACGGUGAAAGCGGAGCUUGCUCCGCUGGAUCAGUGGCGAACGGGUGAGUAACACGUGGGCAACCUGCCCCUCACUUCGGGAUAACUCCGGGAAACCGGGGCUAAUACCGGAUAUGACCUCCUUGGGCAUCCUUGGUGGUGGAAAGUUUUUCGGUGAGGGAUGGGCCCGCGGCCUAUCAGCUUGUUGGUGAGGUAGUGGCUCACCAAGGCGACGACGGGUAGCCGGCCUGAGAGGGUGACCGGCCACACUGGGACUGAGACACGGCCCAGACUCCUACGGGAGGCAGCAGUGGGGAAUAUUGCACAAUGGGCGCAAGCCUGAUGCAGCAACGCCGCGUGAGGGAUGACGGCCUUCGGGUUGUAAACCUCUUUUAGUAGGGAAGAAGCGAAAGUGACGGUACCUGCAGAGAAAGCACCGGCUAACUACGUGCCAGCCGCCGCGGUAA
RNAcentral lists this ribosomal RNA (483 nucleotides) under uncultured bacterium. RNAcentral's name for it is "partial 16S ribosomal RNA". It matches the Rfam family "Bacterial small subunit ribosomal RNA", at positions 28 to 523 of the family's 1533-position model. The record is from RNAcentral.